Molecule: ribosomal RNA, 406 nt
Filed under: uncultured bacterium
Lineage: Bacteria
Description: partial 16S ribosomal RNA
Rfam family: Bacterial small subunit ribosomal RNA
Source: RNAcentral
AUUGAACGCUGGCGGCAGGCCUAACACAUGCAAGUCGAACGAGUGGCGGACGGGUGAGUAAUGUCUGGGAAACUGCCUGAUGGAGGGGGAUAACUCCUGGAAACGGUCGCUAAUACCGCAUACCAUCGGAUGUUCCCAGAUGGGAUUAGCUAUUUGGUGGGGUAACGGCUCACCUAGGCGACGAUCCCUAGCUGGUCUGAGAGGAUGACCAGACACACGGGAACUGAGACACGGUCCAGACUCCUACGGGAGGCAGCAGUGGGGAAUAUUGCACAAUGGGCGCAAGCCUGAUGCAGCCAUGCCGCGUGUAUGAAGAAGGCCUUCGGGUUGUAAAGUACUUUCAGCGGGGAGGCGUUACCCGCAGAAGAAGCACCGGCUAACUCCGUGCCAGCCGCCGCGGUAAUAC